This 253-nucleotide ribosomal RNA is filed under the name uncultured bacterium. RNAcentral describes it as "partial 16S ribosomal RNA". It matches the Rfam family "Bacterial small subunit ribosomal RNA", at positions 524 to 776 of the family's 1533-position model. The record is from RNAcentral.
UACGUAGGGUGCGAGCGUUAAUCGGAAUUACUGGGCGUAAAGCGUGCGCAGGCGGCUUUGCAAGACAGAUGUGAAAUCCCGGGGCUCAACCUGGGAACUGCUUUCAAAACUGCUGAGCUAGAGUACGGUAGAGGGUGGUGGAAUUUCCUGUGUAGCGGUGAAAUGCGUAGAGAUGAGGAGGAACACCAAUGGCGAAGGCAAUCCCCUGGGCCUGUACUGACGCUCAUGCGCGAAAGCGUGGGGAGCAAACAGG